UACGUAGGUGGCAAGCGUUGUCCGGAAUUAUUGGGCGUACAGCGCGCGCAGGCGGCCUCUUAAGUCUGAUGUGAAAGCCCCCGGCUCAACCCGGGGAGGGCCAUUGGAAACUGGGAGGCUUGAGUAUAGGAGAGAAGAGUGGAAUUCCACGUGUAGCGGUGGAAAUGCGUAGAGAUGUGGAGGAACACCAGUGGCGAAGGCGGACUCUUUGGCCUAGUAACUGACGCUGAGGCGCGAAAGCGUGGGGAGCCAAACAGG
This 258-nucleotide ribosomal RNA is filed under the name uncultured bacterium. RNAcentral's name for it is "partial 16S ribosomal RNA". It matches the Rfam family "Bacterial small subunit ribosomal RNA", at positions 524 to 776 of the family's 1533-position model. The record is from RNAcentral.